RNAcentral lists this long non-coding RNA (3389 nucleotides) under Marmota monax (woodchuck). The record is from RNAcentral. Lineage: Eukaryota; Metazoa; Chordata; Mammalia; Rodentia; Sciuridae.
CUCGGGAGCCUUCGACUCCCCUGCCUUGGGGCUGGCCCAAGGCUGCAAACACAUGUUCUUUAUUUUUUGGUUCAUCUUCUUGAUUCUUUUUUCUUUUUUACAGUGAGAAGUUAAGUCUAAAAUAACCCAGUGAAGAGAUUCCCAGAGCCAACAUUCCAUCUGCACCCCUCGGGAGCCUGUCCCCCCGCCCGGGGUCUACCCACCCAUCUGAGCACCUCCCUGUCUCCUGGACGCGGGGACCUCCCAGCCGCUCUGUCCACACCGGUGUUCCCCCUCUAAAGAAGGCUAUGGUGCCGCAGUCCAGGUGGCACAGAGUGUUGGCCCCGGGUCGAAAUGCAGCUCUGUUCAAGCCCAGCGCCACUCGGACUCAUUCACCCCAGAGCCUCCGUGUGCUCAUCUAGAAACGGGUCUGACAAUGACACCUUCACAGACACCUUCACGGAGCUGUGAGAGUUGGGGGAACUGUCCAUGGGGGACCGGAGCAGUGCUGGGCGCACAGUGCCGGCUCAGAACGUGUGAGCUGCUGUCCCCCUCCCUUCCCGCUAUUCCCCUUCUCCACUGCUCCUUCCUUGCAGAGCUGGGGGUGAACCCAGGCCCUGCGCGUGCGGGUCCUGCGCGGGGCCACUCAGCGACGCCCCCAGCCUGCUGUUCUUUCCUGCCUUCUGCAAGUCUGUCUCCACGAAGGGUUCCUGCAGAUAUAUUUAGACAAAAAUAUGAUUAUGCCUGCUUAUGCUCAAAACCCUCCCCACAUUCCUAAAGAUAGCAUCCCAAAUCUCCAGCAGCCUCCCAGGUGGCCCGCUCAGCCGUCACUGCCCCACUUGUGUUGAUUCUCCUUCUUGGAACAGGUGAAAUCGUUUCCUGAUGGCAGAGCCAUCUCCCCUCCUCAGCCCUGGGCCCUGUGCCCUAUGCCCUGCUCCUGGGCCAACUCCCCACCCUGGGCUCUGCUUGCCUGGUGGCCUUCCCUGCGGUCUGCCACGAGGCGAGUUCCCGUUUCACCAGGGUCACGGGGUUCCCUUUCCUUUGGGGCUGUGUUGGCACCAGCAGCUGUGGUUGUGACACCAGGUCUCUCUGCUGCAGGUCCUCACUGCUGUCCCCUGCCCCCUGGCUGACUGGCACCACCAGAACAUGGGCAGCAGGAAUGGAUGCCACAGGAUGCCCACUGCCACCCUCCCUCCCUCCCUCCAGGACUCUAGGGCACAUUGGCUCCAAGAGCUGGAGGAAUCCCAGCAGCCUGGCCACUGCCCAGAAGGACCCAGCUGCCAGGCGCCCACCUGUAGAGACAGUGAGCCCCUGAUGGGCCGCUGACAGCCCAGGUGGCCUGUUGGGAAGCUGCUGGUCCCCACGGGCCUGUGAGCCCCGUAACUUGUGCAUCCCCCUAGGCCUUCCGUGGACACCCCAAGAGUGAGCGCUGGUUCCUGUGGGGCAGGGGACGUUGCUCAGCCUCCUGGGGUGACCUGUGGAAGGUUCCCAUGUGUUGUGAUGCUCAUGUCCCACUUCCCAGCCUGCUGCCAGCCUCCUCCAGGACCCGGUGGCUGACACUGCCCAUUUAGACCUGGCGUUGGGUCAGGGAUGGCGUCCAGGCUGGACACAGGUGUGGCCGGGGAUGUCUGAGGACGAUGGUUCUCCUUUUCCCAAGCAAGGGAAGAGGAACCAGACCUCGGGAGGACCUUUCUAUGAGACACUUGCUAGAAACCCACAAACGUCUGUGCUGGGGCUCUGACCACAUCCUGAGCCUGUGUGUGCAUUGCGGGUGUGGGGCAGCACCAUGCCAGCAUGUCUGCUUCCUGGGCCCCUGACCAGGCGUGAGCUGGCAGAAGGACGCCUGUGGGCUGGAGGCCAGGGGGCUGGGAGGCCAGGAGGCCCCGACACCGGGAAGGCGGGUCUCUCCCUACACUCGAGUCCUGCUUGGUCCCGUGCUGCGGGGCCAGGGCAAUUCAGAGAAGCAGGGACAGUGACAGGAGGGCAUUAUCCACCCAAGCCCCAGGCCUCCCUGCCCCAGCUUGGAACCAAGAGCUGAGAGACUUAAUCAAGCACGGAUUUUGAGUGGCAUUCUGAGCAUUUCCCCUCUGGAGAUCUCUUCUCGAGCUGCUGGGGCCCCACCACCUGAGCACAGGUGGGCAAUUCGUUCUCUAAACCAUGAAGGUUGAUCUCUAACUGACUCCCACCAGGAAAACUGGCAUUGGGUGAGGCAGGGCUGGUUUGGGGGGUGACUCUGGGGUGUAAUUCCCAAGUGUUUGGAGCUCACGAGACUCCAGAUUCGAAUUCCUAUGCAGAUAACUUCUCAGCGUCUCCAUCACCGGAAGAGUUCUGCAGCCUGCUGGGCCUCCCAGUUCCACCCAGAUGAAUGAGAACAUCUGGGGCCCAAGGGUAGAGACGGUGCUGGACUCCAGGACAAUGUCCACGUUCCCCGUCGCAUCCAGAGCCACAGCCAGUUCAGGACGUGCCCUGGCCAAGGGGGGCCCAGAGCAGAGCUGGUGAUUUGGGGCUGGAUGGGUACCUGACCUCAGGUCUGCCCCUCAUGUUCAGAGACGGGCACAACUGGGCCCUAGGAAGCAGAGCUCAGGAAAGUGGAGGAGAAGCCACAGCCGGCCACCCCUGCUCCCUCCAUCCUGGUGGUCUGUGCAGCCUCCUUCCGGGAGCUGCUCUCUGCAGGGCGCCUGGGGCCUCCCUCUCGUGUCACCCACAGCUGCGGGCGGCCAUUCCACUGAGCACAGGAGUGGGUCUCCGGGGAGGGGGGCCGUGCUGGGGGCCAUGGGACUGUGCUCAUUUGCCGAACAUCUGAUUCCUCUUCACCAAGCAGAAAGGUCUGCUGCUCUCCCCCAAAAUCAACGUGGUUUCCCUUUCGUGGUCUUGUAGAAUUCCCGGGAAGUGGCUUCCACCAGGGAUGCUUUCCCUGUUUCCCUUGCAUCCAAGGGUGACCACCUGACUCUUUACUACCAAGGAUGAUGCGGGGGCCCUCGGGCCAGCAGGUGCACGGAGGUCCUCCACACUCUUCUUCUCUUUCUGGCUGGAAGCUGAGGUCGUCUUCAUCCAGGAGGAUGGUGGGACCCACCCACGGGAGCAGUGAGCCUUCGUGGGCAGCCCCUGGGUGCUGAGAUCCACGGCCGAGUCUGUAUGGCCCCUGGCAUUUUGCCAACAGUAUUGAUUGACAGGCGAGGCAUUACUAUCCGCCUCUGCGGCAACUUUUGAGUUAUCGCACUAUUUUGGAGUUCUCGUGGGGAUUUCCGGGGAUUCCCCGAGAGUUCCCAUUGGUUGGGGAAGUGCAGGAGGAGGGAUUUCCGGGAGAGAUAUUUCCGGCUGGGGGUUGCUGGACAAGCCUCGUGGCGUUCGGGAGGAUUCCCCGGGAGCUGUGUGAAGUGUUUUCCUCAGUUUAAAAAUAAAGUUUGUUC